UUAUUUCAACUCAACUUUAUUUUCCCUUCUCCUUUAUGGUAACUGAAGGUGAAUGAGAUAAUUACACACAGUUUUCCUAUAACGUUUCAGGCUAAUCGUUAUUUCCUAGAAAGUCUCUGGCUAAUUCUCAAAUUUUCUAAAGAUGGAUAAUAGCUCCAGGAAUUAUACUAGUGGGCUAUAGCUGAAAUCGUUUUGAUCUGGGUAGUCUCCUAUCAAAAUUACUUUCACAUACUUAGUAAAACUCAUUACAGGUGAAAGCUACUGAAUGAAAGCCUAGUAAUAGUUAUAGAAGAAAAAAACUUGAAAAAAGUUUUACUUAACAUUGCAAUUAUUUUUAAUUAAGAAACAGCAAUGACAAAUAAUUGCUAGUUAUCACUAUCACGUAAUAAAAAUAUUUUAAAAAUCUGGGUUGUGAUACACUAAAGUUAUGAGAAAAUAUAUUUGUCUGUAGUCUAUAUUCAGUUGAACAGACUUUAAAACUGUGUAUUAAAAGGUCUUUGCAGCCAGGCGUGGUGGCUCAUGCCUGUAAUCCCAGCAUUUUGGGAGGGCGAGGUGGGCAGGUCACCUGAGGUCAGGAGUUCGAGACCAGCCUGGCCAACAGAGUAAAACCCCAUCUCUACUAAAAAUAGAAAACUUAGCCAGGUGUGGUGGCAUGCACCUGUAAUCCCAGCUACUCAGGAGGCUGAGACAGGUAGAUCACUUGAGGUCAGGAAUUCAAGACCAGCCUGGCCAACAUGGUGAAACCCCGUCUCUACUAACAUACAAAAAUUAGCUAGGCAUGGUGGCAGGCGCCUGUAAUCCCAGUUACUUGGGAGGCUGGGGCAGGAGUAUCGCUUGAACCCAGGAGGCAGAGGUUCAAGCAGUCCUUGUGCCUCGGCCUCCCAAGUACCUGGGACUACAGGCAUGUGCCGCUAUGCCCAGGCCUUACUUGCUUCUUAAAUAGAAAGUUACUCCACAGAAGCCAGGUGCAGUGGCUCACGCCUGUAAUUCCAACACUUUGGAAGGCCAAGGUGGGCGAUCACCUGAGGUCAGGAGUUCGAGAUCAGCCUGGCCAACAUGGUGAAACCCUGUCCCUACUAAAACUACAAAAAUUAGCUGGGCUUGGUGGUGGGCGCCUGUA
Molecule: long non-coding RNA, 1120 nt
Organism: Homo sapiens (human)
Lineage: Eukaryota; Metazoa; Chordata; Mammalia; Primates; Hominidae
Source: Ensembl